RNAcentral lists this ribosomal RNA (253 nucleotides) under uncultured bacterium. RNAcentral's name for it is "partial 16S ribosomal RNA". It matches the Rfam family "Bacterial small subunit ribosomal RNA", at positions 524 to 776 of the family's 1533-position model. The record is from RNAcentral.
CACGGGGGGAGCAAGCGUUGUUCGGAAUCACUGGGCGUAAAGGGCGUGUAGGCGGCCAACUAAGUCCGACGUGAAAUCCCCAGGCUUAACCUGGGAACUGCGUCGGAUACUGGAUGGCUUGAAUUCGGGAGAGGGAUGCAGAAUUCCAGGUGUAGCGGUGAAAUGCGUAGAUAUCUGGAGGAAUACCGGUGGCGAAGGCGGCAUCCUGGACCGACAUUGACGCUGAAGCGCGAAAGCUAGGGGAGCAAACGGG